RNAcentral lists this transfer RNA (23 nucleotides) under Peucedanum ostruthium. RNAcentral's name for it is "partial tRNA-Thr". Lineage: Eukaryota; Viridiplantae; Streptophyta; Magnoliopsida; Apiales; Apiaceae. The record is from RNAcentral. RNAcentral also lists the same sequence under 3 other names.
UCUAACCUCUGAGCUAAGCAGGC